This 421-nucleotide ribosomal RNA is filed under the name uncultured bacterium. RNAcentral describes it as "bacterial SSU rRNA". It matches the Rfam family "Bacterial small subunit ribosomal RNA", at positions 355 to 774 of the family's 1533-position model. The record is from RNAcentral.
UAAGGAAUAUUGGUCAAUGGACGCAAGUCUGAACCAGCCAUGCCGCGUGAAGGAUGAAGGUCCUCUGGAUUGUAAACUUCUUUUAUCUGGGACGAAAACGGGAUUUUUAUCUCAAUUGACGGUACCAGAGGAAUAAGCACCGGCUACCUCCGUGCCAGCAGCCGCGGUAAUACGGAGGGUGCGAGCGUUAUCCGGAUUUACUGGGUUUAAAGGGUGCGUAGGUGGGCUUAUAAGUCAGUGGUGAAAUCUCCGAGCUUAACUUGGAAACUGCCGUUGAUACUAUAGGUCUUGAAUUAUCUGGAGGUAAGCGGAAUAUGUCAUGUAGCGGUGAAAUGCUUAGAUAUGACAUAGAACACCAAUUGCGAAGGCAGCUUACUACAUAUAAAUUGACGCUGAGGCACGAAAGCGUGGGGAUCAAACA